GUAGGUGGCAAGCGUUGUCCGGAAUUAUUGGGCGUAAAGCGCGCGCAGGCGGGUUCUUUAAGUCUGAUGUGAAAGCCCACGGGCUCAACCGUGGAGGGUCAUUGGAAACUGGAGAACUUGAGUACAGAAGAGGAAAGCGGAAUUCCACGUUUAGCGGUGAAAUGCGUAGAGAUGUGGAGGAACACCAGUGGCGAAGGCGGCUUUCUGGUCUGUAACUGACGCUGAGGCGCGAAAGCGUGGGGAGCAAACAGGAUUAGAUACCCUGGUAGUCCACGCCGUAAACGAUGAGUGCUAAGUGUUAGGGGGUUUCCGCCCCUUAGUGCUGCAGCUAACGCAUUAAGCACUCCGCCUGGGGAGUACGGCCGCAAGGCUG
RNAcentral lists this ribosomal RNA (373 nucleotides) under uncultured organism. RNAcentral describes it as "partial 16S ribosomal RNA". It matches the Rfam family "Bacterial small subunit ribosomal RNA", at positions 527 to 896 of the family's 1533-position model. The record is from RNAcentral.